RNAcentral lists this ribosomal RNA (2647 nucleotides) under Gracilariopsis mclachlanii. RNAcentral describes it as "large subunit ribosomal RNA". It matches the Rfam family "Bacterial large subunit ribosomal RNA". The record is from RNAcentral. Lineage: Eukaryota; Rhodophyta; Florideophyceae; Gracilariales; Gracilariaceae.
AGGAUAAAAAUUUGGUUGAGGGAUUUCAAAAUUUUUAUAACGAGCACUUAAUGAGAACCUUGGCAAAAAAUUUUGGACGUCUCGCUACGAAAAGUUAUAAGGAGGCAUUGGCCUGUGAUUUAUAAAUUUCCAUAUUAUAGUAAACUUUAUACUAAUUUAUAAAAAAUAAUGUGAAUUGAAUCAUCUUAGUAACAUUAAAAAUAAAUCAAACGAGAUUUCGUGAGUAAUUGUGAGUGAAAACGAAUAAAAGCUUAUGAGAAGGUUUUUACUUAUAAUUCAUAGAAGGUAAAAGCCCUGUAUUAAGUGAAAACUUUCUUAAAGAUUACCUCUAAGUAACAUGAAUUUGAAUUGUGUGAAUAAAGGAGAACCACCUUCUAAGCUUAUAAUAUUUUUUGACCUAUAGUGAACGAGUACCGUGAGGGAAAGGAUAAAAAUUUCGAAUAGAAUUAAUUGAGUUGGGUGUUUAUAAAUUUUCGAAGUUUAUAACGACGAAGUGCCUUUUGCAUAAUGAGUCAGCAAGUUAAUACAUAUAGCAAGCUUAAAUACUCGUAUGAAGGCAUUCAAAGUAAUAUGUAUUAAACCUGAAACCAAGUGAUCUAGUUGUGAGCAGGUUGAAAAUACUUUAAACCGUUUUUGAGGACCGUACCCAUAUAUGUAGCAAAAUAUAGGGAUGACUUGUAACUAGGAGCGAAAGACUAAUCAAACUUGGAGAUAGCCGGUUUUUCACGAAAUGUAUUUUAGUACUACGUUAAUUAUUAUUUAAACUUAGGUUAGAGUACAAAAAAGAUAAAGGGAUGUAAGAAUUUACUGAAUCUAUUUUAACUCCGAAUAAAAGCAUAAUAAAAAUUAGCAGACAGUCUAUGAGCGAUAAGGUUCAUAGACGAGAGGAAAACAAUCCAGACCGUAUAUUAAGAUUUCUAAAUUAAAACUUAGGGAAAAAGAUUAAAAAAAGUUCAAAUAAUAUAAUUUGAUAGACUUAGAAGCAGUCUUUCAUUAGAGAAAGCGUUUUAGCUCAUUAUUUAUUCUUUUUUAAUUAAAAAUUUAGGGAAACUUUAAGUUUUAUAUCGAAAUAGCGGAUUAAUCAUACUUAAUGGUAGUGAAACGUUCUAUAACUAUUUUUUAAUUGUAAAAUUAUAAAAACUUAAGUAGAAAUGCUAAUGCUGACAUGAGUAGCGAAAGUUAUGUUAAAAAAUCAUAACCACCGUAUGUUUAAGGGUUUCAAUGUAAUUUUAAAUACAUUGAGUUAGUCGGGCCUUAAGAAGUGAAUAAAUAUUGUAUUCGAUAGGAAAUUAAAUAUUCUUUUACUUUUUAUAUGUGUUAAGAAACAUGAAAAAAAUAGAUGAGAUAAAUUUUCAUAAUAGACAUACAAGGCAAAAUUAAUUUUUUUGAUCUAUUUUCGAGAAAAAAUUAUAAUAUAAUAAACCGUACUUAAACCGACACAGGUAAACUUAUUGAAAAAAUUUUAGGUGCAUGAAAAAAUUGUAUUGAAGGAACUCGGCAAAUUAACUCUGUACGUUCGCAAUAAAGAGAACCAUACAAAUGGUAGCACAAAAUAAGAAGUAACGACUGGUUACCAAAACCACAGGACUCUGCAAAUUUGUAAAAAAAAGUAUAGGGUCUGACGCCUGCCCGGUGCUUAAAAAUAACAAAUAUAGGUGUAAGCCUAACUUUUAAAUCUAAGUAAACGGCGGUUCUAACUAUAAGAAUCCUUAGGUAGCGAAAUUCCUUGGCGGGUAAAUUCCGUCCUGCAUGAAUGGCGUAACGAUUACUUCACUGUCUCCAAUACAAAUUCAGCGAAAUUACAGUAUCUAUGAAAAUGUAGAUUACUUGCAGUAAGACGGAAAGACCCUAGAUCCUUUACUUUAAUUUUGAAUUGUAAAAACUUUUUUAUUGUAUAGUACAAGUGGGAAUGAAAUCUCAUGUCUAAUGAAAUACCACUCAAUAUUUUAACUUUUUACUAAAUUUGCAAAUAUAUAAUGCAAAAACAGUUUAAAAAAGAAAGUUUACUUGGGACGAGUACCUCCUAAAAAGUAACGGAGGUGUACGAAGGUAAAUUACACUUAUUUUUUUAAAUAAUGAAGAACGCAAUGGUAUAAAUUUGCUUGACAAUAAGAUUUAUAAAUCAAAUUGGGACGCAAGUCAGUCAUAGUGACCCGAUAUUUAAGUGUGGAAUUAAUAUCGUUCAACAGAUAAAAGGAACUCUAGGGAUAACAGAUUCAUCGUGAUUGAGAGUUCAUAUUGACUUCACGGUUUGAUACCUCGAUGUCGACUCAUCUUAUCCUGAAAUUGAAGUAGAUUUCAAGGGUCUAGUUGUUCGCUAGUGAAAAAGGUACGUGAGUUGGGUUCAGAACGUCGUGAGACAGUUCGGUCCCUAUCUACUGCAAGGAGUGAAAAAUAAGAAAUGUAUUCUUAGUACGAGAGGACCGGAAUAUUUUAACCACUAGUUUAAUGAUUGUUAAGCCUAUAGCAUAGUCAAAUAGCUAAGUUAAUUUUUAAUAAAUGCUGAAAGAAUCAAUAGCAUUAAGUAUUUUUCUUACAUUUUUCAAGAAUACUCUAAAAGAUUAUUAGAUUGAUCGGUUUAAAAAAAACUUUAGUAAUAGAUAAAGUUAAUAAAUACGAACUAUUCAAAAAAAUUUUGAAUUUAACU